Fundulus heteroclitus (mummichog) is the source of this 123-nucleotide long non-coding RNA. RefSeq lists it as uncharacterized. The record is from RefSeq and is a predicted model, not a curated record. Lineage: Eukaryota; Metazoa; Chordata; Actinopteri; Cyprinodontiformes; Fundulidae. The transcript has 3 exons.
AUGAAGAGAAUCUGUGGGAGGGGCCAAUGGGUACAAGGGGUCAGGCUGUCCCCAGCACUAGUGUGCCCCAAGGACAUGGGUGGAUAACCAGCCGAACAGCUCUCUCAGGUGCAAUCCUGCAGG